AGCGAACGCUGGCGGCAGGCCUAACACAUGCAAGUCGAACGAACUCUUCGGAGUUAGUGGCGGACGGGUGAGUAACACGUGGGAACGUGCCUUUAGGUUCGGAAUAACUCAGGGAAACUUGUGCUAAUACCGAAUGUGCCCUUCGGGGGAAAGAUUUAUCGCCUUUAGAGCGGCCCGCGUCUGAUUAGCUUGUUGGUGAGGUAAAGGCUCACCAAGGCGACGAUCAGUAGCUGGUUUGAGAGGAUGAUCAGCCACAUUGGGACUGAGACACGGCCCAAACUCCUACGGGAGGCAGCAGUGGGGAAUCUUGCGCAAUGGGCGAAAGCCUGACGCAGCCAUGCCGCGUGAAUGAUGAAGGUCUUAGGAUUGUAAAAUUCUUUCACCGGGGACGAUAAUGACGGUACCCGGAGAAGAAGCCCCGGCUAACUUCGUG
RNAcentral lists this ribosomal RNA (433 nucleotides) under uncultured bacterium. RNAcentral describes it as "partial 16S ribosomal RNA". It matches the Rfam family "Bacterial small subunit ribosomal RNA", at positions 29 to 507 of the family's 1533-position model. The record is from RNAcentral.